RNAcentral lists this long non-coding RNA (6700 nucleotides) under Sus scrofa (pig). RNAcentral's name for it is "lncRNA (ENSSSCG00050011871.1)". The record is from RNAcentral. Lineage: Eukaryota; Metazoa; Chordata; Mammalia; Artiodactyla; Suidae.
UUUUUUUUUUUUCUGUCUUUUUGCUAUUUCUUGGGCCGCUCCCGCGGCAUAUGGAGGUUCCCAGGCUAGGGGUCCAGUCGGAGCUGUAGUCACCGGCCUACGCCAGAGCCACAGCAACGCGGGAUCUGAGCCGCGUCUGCAACCUACACCACAGCUCACGGGAACACCGGACCCUUAGCCCACUGAGCAAGGACAGGGACCGAACCCGCAACCUCAUGGUUCCUAGUCGGAUUCGUUAACCACUGCACCACGACGGGAACUCCUAGACUGCUUUUUAAAUUGUAUUUAUUUAUGUAUUUAUUUACUUACUUACUUUUUAGGGCCACACCCAUGCCAUGUGGAGGUUCCCAGGCUAGGGGUCAAAUAGGAGCUGUAGCUGCCGGACUACAUCACAGCUCAUGGCAACGCCGGAUCCUUAACCCACUGAGCAUGGCCAGGGGUCAAACGUACAUCCUCAUGGAUCCUAGUUGGGUAUGUUACUGCUGAGCCACAACAGGAACUCCCAGGUUAGCCUGCUUUUAAUUCAACAUAUUGUCCUUUCCCCAGUUCCUUAGUCACAGAAUCAACUUCUCUACCUGUGAUGAAGGUGAAGGUCUCAGAGCAUAAAACUGUGCCCUAAACAAUACAUUUGGGAAGAUGCUAUGCAGCCAGGUCAGCCCAACUGAACGGAAAUGAAAUCCCGUCGGUUGAGAGAAGAAAGGGAAAGGCGGUCAAGAGAGUGGGUCAUUGCCAUGUGGUUCCGGAAAGCGCCCUGCCUCUUGCUCCUCCUGGGCCAUCUGGGGCUAAGCCCAGAGAGGGAAGAUGACAGAGAGUAACCCCGCUAGCUGGGAAGACCCAAGAGCCCGUGUAAAACCUUUGAAAUCCAUAAGACCUCGAAGUGCCUUGAGCCCAAGGGAAGUAACAGAGCAGAAAUUAGUACGUGGCGUAUCAAGGCAGACAUUACAGCUUGAUGUUUUCGGAGGACCAGAGCAAGGCAAAGGAGCCUCAUCAGAAUGAGCUGGAGGAAGCAGGGCCCCCUACAUCCCUGUCUGGAGGCCAGGUGGGGACGGGACAGGGCACAUGCUGACAGGUGAUUAUCCACCACACCCCUUUCCAUCAGCCCCAACCCCAAAGUGACUAAGAUUGCUUCUGCAGCUUACACUAAACAGAAACUGAAAUGGAACAGCCAUCAAAAGUUGUAUUGUUUGCAAAGCCUGAAAUGACUGCUCACUAUAGGAGUUACACACAAAGGGCUUGUGCACGUAGUAGUUCCACGAUACACUCUAAGUAUCUCCAUGAUUACUGGUGACUGGGAAUACUUCACUCCGCCUUCUUUCUCCAGAGAAGUGGAGGCACUAACCUUGAGCACUGAAAAUAAGGGCAGGGCGUAAUAACAGAGCACAAGUUGGAGAACUACUGGAUUUUCCUCAAUGGAAAACAAAUGAGAGACCCCUGCACUCCACACCCUCCCACUUAGAGUAGCCAUGCUCUUCUUCAGCCAGUACUCAUGCUCCUUUCUCAGGAUGGGCUAUCUCUCCCCAUCUCCUUGACGUUGGCCUUGGUCACGUGACUUGCCUUGACCAGUAGAAUAUGGCACACCAGCUAGCAUGUGGCUGAGUACUAAGAAGAGGCUCUGAGAGGCCUCUUUUCAUGUCCUGUCUUGCCUUCCUGCCAUCCUCCAGCCUGGAUCUCCACAUGAAAGAUACAAGGAGCAGACCUGAACCUGACCUGAAGCUUGGAACCAAGCCUGGCCAAGUGCAGUGGAGUCUAGCAAGACACAGCUGAGCCUCGGCUGACCCAGGAUGCACGAAAUUAAUAUUUGCUUUCAUAAGCCAUCAAAAUUUGAGGUUGUUACUACAGGAAAAUCUAAUUCGCCACCAAUGAAGAUGAUUCUUCAACAUAUCAAAGUAAAGAAAGGAAAGAUGGAAGGUGAAACAAGGGCAAGAAAAGAGUCUAAUGAAAUGAGGGGAAAUUGCCUUUUCAGGGACUUGACCAGCAGUGGUAAUGUGAGUGGCAUGGCACCCUAGCUAGUAAAGCAGGGGUGAAGUGGGAGAGAAAUAGAGUCGUAUAGAGGUCUGAGAGCCUUUGUGACCCCAAAGAGAAGGAUGAGUUCAGAGAAACACAUUUCUUCACCCUCAGAUUCUUUCUGCCUUUAAAUCUCUCCAUUUGGUGGAAUUUAACUCCCUUCUGAGCAGUAAGCUUGGUAAACUUUAAAGCCUUGCAAUGGAUUCUGCAUUGCAAGAUCUCCUAUUCCUAUUUAAAAUGCAGCAGGAUGUACGUUUGCUAUUGAUUUGGGUUUGCGAUUUGAAUUGUUCUUGUGUAGGUAUUUGCCAAAGAACAGAUGUUUUCUCCAUGUGUCAUCUGAGAUGGGUUAAGUAUGCCCAGGAGGGUACGGCUGACAUAGAGGUCUCUCCCUGAGCAGACGGGUUAGUUAUAAAUUGCUCUGCACUUUUUCCUAACCCUGUAACAGCUGAAGUAAAACCUAGCAGCUGAACAGUUAACCCAUUUGUUUAAUUUGAUUUUGAUUUUUCCAUUAAGCUCUCAUGAUUUAUUUAGAUAGGUCCUGAAAUACCGAAUGGAAAUGUGAAGAAUUGGGCAUAAAGGGGGAUUAAGAACCAAAAUAUGAGUUGAAUGAAAUCUAUUUUGCAAAGCUCCAGACCUGUCCAAUAAAUCGCGGGGGGGAAACUUGCUCAAAAUUACUCCUUGAGUAGUUCUGAGCAGCAAUAUUACAUCUGUGUUUCUGAACUCACGGGCUUCAAGGAACAGCUUCUUUCUCGGGGCUGUGCUUCAAAACCUCACAAUUAAAGCCGGACGCUGGCCAAGGUGUAAACCAUAAAGCUCCCCUAGAAACACCCAGAAUCUGUGCUCCAGACCCCUCUGACAUCAGAUCCACCUCAAGAGGGACUUUCUCCAUAACGCUUCAUCCCACCCUCCCUCCAGAGACAGCCCUGGUCCUGCUCUCCCAGAGGAUCUUUCCAAGGCACACAGGCCAGCCCUUGUUAGUUUCCCCCACUGAUGUCCUUUGUUCCCAUCUGGCCAAUCACACUUCAGGCCACCUUUCUGCACCCAGCCCCUCCCCUCCUGCCUGCACCCAAAGCAGGAAAGAUGGGGAAGGACAGGCCACUUUUACCUCCCUGUCCUCUUUAGGUUGAUCCCUGUGUUUGCAGAGAGGUGACACCGAGUGGUGAUUCAGAGCAAGUAUCUGAGACCAGGGUGCCCUGGACUUAAAAGCUGGCUCCAUCCUACUGGAAGUGAGACCUUGGACCCAUCCCGUCAUUUCCCCAUCACCUCCCAAAUGAGGAUGAGAAGAGCACUCACCUCAAGGGGUAUUUGAAGGAGACACAAGAGCUGGCACCUGAUGAGCCCUCGGUUGCCAACAACAGCUAAGCCUUGCUCUGAGGUGAUGCCCCUUGUUAAGCUGACAGAGAUUUCCUGGGUGCUGCCCACGUGCGGGGCAUGGUACCUGAUGCUGGGACUAUUGUGUGAAAAGGUACCGACCUGAUCCUGGGAGAUCUUUCAGGCUGGCAGGGAGAGGAGCAAAUGCUAAAGCAUAGGGAGACCCACUGAGGGACUAACCCAUGGGUGCACCGGAGGCACACAAACCAAGCUUGGCCAAGGGCAAGGAAGCCCAUGGAAGAAGUGAGGUCUCCCCCUGAGAUUUAGAGGGUGAGACUGUGUGGGUAAAAGAGCAGCUGAGCCAAAGGAGGUGGGGGCAGGGGGGCAGCACGUGCAAAGGCCCAGAGGUGGGAGGUGCCUGAGUCGGGUGAGAAGGGCAAGAGAAGACAGCGUGUGAGGCAGAGCAGGAAGGAUGGAGCAGCUCAAAGCAGAGGCAGUGUGCCUGGAUGUUCCUGAAGCCAUGAGGCAGUGAUUGCAUCAUAUUUCCUUCUUCCAAAGCUCUUCAGAGAGACACGGGAAACGGGAUUAGAGAUAAGAUCAGAGGCUGCAGACAGCUGUGCAAACUGUGCCCCAAAUGACAGCGCCAGACCAAGACGGAGCGUGGGGUGGGCCCCAGCAAAGCCAUGCUCACCACGUUGGGUCCUUGCACAAGGAAGAGGUCUGUCCAGAGAAACUGAAGGAACAUUGUAAAUCAACUAUACUUUAAUAAAAAAAAUUAAAAAUAAACAAUAAACUCCUCUUUUUUCCCACCCAACUCCACGGGCCUGGACAGGAUUUUCCAAUCCAAGGGGCCCCCACUUUUGGUCUUUCACACUUAAUUUAUCAAGACUUCCUAGUGGACAGCAUUUCUGCUGUCACUGCCACCAGCCUCACAGUCCCCUGAAUAUCUUUGCCACGUGGCCAUUGCCUUUAUUAGCGAUUUCCCAAAAGAUCCCCUGAAAAAGUUUUGCUAAUGACUUGGGAGUGCUUUCAUGGUUUUCAAAGGAUUAUAGAAAAUUCUCAUGGCUGUUGAUGGGUCAGGGCUUAAUCUCAUUGACUUCCUUUUAGUCUUUGGUCUGACAACCAAUAACUGGAAUUAUCAUGAUAACGACACGACGUUUUUAAAGGCCAUUUACCUUACUUCAAGUGACCCUCACAACAACUUUAUGAGGGAGGCUUUUUCUCUGAGGAGCCAGGCUCAGGAAAAUAAAGUGACCUCCCGAAGGUCACACAGCUAGUAAAUUGUAGAACUGAGAUGCAGCUGGGACUUUCAAAGCCAAGGUCUUUUACCCAACACCAAACUCCAGGACAAAAGGAAGAGUAAAAAUGUUAGCCAGGUUGUGCUUCUAUUUUUUUUUUAGAUGAUGGACAAUUUCAACUAUAAAAAUAGAGACAAGAGAACAGUGGCAUGCUCAAGACAGUUCCUACCAGCUCCCAAGACCUGAGUUAAAUAUUCAGAAAGUUUGCAAGCUGCCAAUCAAACCCUUGGUUGUUUGAAGCAGGCCAUGGUGGAAACAUUACAGACAGUGGAAUAUGCUUCAAAUUAGGGCUUCCCGCUUCCCCAGCCAGCUUCCCAGCACAUCGCUGCUGACCCUAUUCACCACCUUCCAAAAUGAUCAGCUGCUGACCAUCCUGUUCUGUCUACUCCAACACUCACUGAUUUCUUCUUGUCCCUGAGGGCUUACUUUGAUGCAAUUCCCAGACACUGUAUCAUUUCACCUAAAGAUACUUCAAUAAGUAUGUCUAAAUAAUGACUCUUUUCCAGGAGUUCCCUUCAUGGCUCAGCGGUUAACGAACCUGACUAGGAUCCAUGAGGAAGUGGGUUCAAUCCCUGGCCUCGUUCAGCAGGUUAAGGAUCCGGCAUUGACAUGAGCUGUGGUGCAGGUCACAGAUGUGGCUCAGAUCCUGUGUUGCUGUGGCUGUAUGUAGGCCAGCAGCUGUAGCUCCAAUUCCACCCCAGCCUGGGAGCAUCCAUGGGUUGUGGGUGUGGCCCUAAAAAGAAAAAAAAAGACUCUUUUCCAACAUAUCCAAAACACCAUGACUACACCCCCAAAGACCCCAUGAUUUCCUAAAAAUCAUCAAAUAUCCAACUGAAGAUUUCUAUAUAGUUGGUUUUUGAAUUGGGAUCCAAAAAAGAGUUGCUGAUACUUUUUCUCCACCUGUCUCUUGACCCUUGAGUCUCUUUUAGUCAAUAAGUUUCUAUCUUAGUUGUUAUUUUUGCUUUUUAGGGCCACACUCGCUGCAUAUGAAAGUUCCCAGGCUAGGGGUGUAAUCCGAGCUGCAGCUGCUGGCCACAGCCACAGUCACAGCAACAUAGGAUCCGAGCCAUGACUGUGACCUACACCACAGCUCACAGCAACACCGGAUCCUUAACCCACUGAGCGAGGCCAGGGACUGAAGCCCCAUCCUCAUGGACACUAGCCGGGUCAUUACUGCUGAGCCACAAUGGGAAUGCCAGUUUCUAUUUUAGUUUGCUGGGGCUGCGGCAGCAGAGUUCGACAGCGGGUGGUUUAAACACAGAACACAUCUCACAGUUCCAGAAGUCCAAGGUCAAGGCACAGCAGGGCUGCUCUGAUCCGGGGGCCUGGAAGGGAGAGUCUGGUCUGUGCCCCUGGGCUUCCUGUGCCCUGUGCCCUGUCUUCAUCUUCCUUAGUUUGUAGAAGCACCACCGUCCCCUCAGUCUCCAUUUUCAUCUUCACAACAUAGCCUUCCUGUGUGCAUGGCUGACUUCAAAUGUCCCCUUCUCAUAAGGCACCCAUCACGCUGGAUCAGGGCCCAGUCUAAUUUUAUUUUGUAAUUAUAUACGAUAGUUACUGAAGUCCAUAGGCAAGUCAACAAAACAAGGUAAAUUCUGGUCCAUUCCUGCCUCUCCCACCUGUUCCUUCCCCCACCCCGAGAAAUCAUUUUUUGGUUAGUUUUUGCUUUAUCUUACUAUAAAAUUAAUUGAGCAAAUAGGACUCUGUGUGUGUGUUUGUGUGUGUGUAUGUGUUUCCCCUCUUUCUUAUUGUUCAGGAGGGGGGACACUUUCUCCCCAGCCCCCAACCUGUCCCUUCCCCUUAUAAAUAACCAUUUUUGUUAAUUUUUGUUUUAUCUUAAUGUAAAGUAAAUUAAGAAAAUAGGACUGUGUGUGUGUGUGUGUGUGUGUGUGUGUGUGUGUGUUUUUCCCCUCUUGCUGUUGGGGAGGGGGACACUCUCCCCCCCGCCCACUUGGUUCCUUUGCCUGGCCUAAUUGUUAAGGUGACACAGGACAAACUACAGAGGGAAGAAAACAAAUUUGUGUGUAUAGCAAUCUCAUAGAAAUAGGACCUGUGAAGUGACAAAAGCAGGCUGUUUAUAUACCAUUUUU